This is a long non-coding RNA of Oncorhynchus keta (chum salmon), 1576 nucleotides long. RefSeq lists it as uncharacterized. The transcript has 2 exons. The record is from RefSeq and is a predicted model, not a curated record. NCBI's taxonomy places the organism in Eukaryota, Metazoa, Chordata, Actinopteri, Salmoniformes, Salmonidae.
UCUAAAGCUACAAAAUGUUUAACUUUUGUUUUACCUGACCAAAUUCACAUAGAAAUGUGUGUUAUAGAUCCGUCACUCACUGAAAGCAAGUCUAGGAAGCCGGUAGAUCUGUUCUAUGUGCCCUAUUUCUAUCUUUCCCGUUCUUAAGAUUUGUUUUUGCGUCUUUUACUUUCAGUUUUGUACACCAGCUUCAAAACAGACGAAAAAAUACAAUCUUCAGGGUUAUGAUAAAUAUAUUGUUUCACCGCGGUUUAGAUGGUACAAUAUACUUGCUUGUUUUGUUAUAUAAAAUGACAUUUAGGCGAACUAUUCGAAUUUUAGCAAACAGGAAAUGGCGGAGAGAUUUCUACAUAGUGCAUCUUCAACAGUAAAAUAUAACAAAAAAAGCCGAAUUGUCAACCCAAAAUUCACGACAAUCACUGAAUUAGGUUGCACUUAAAAAGAUCUUGAAUCCCCAUGUUAGAUUAAACCCCAGUAUUUAUUGAAUACACAGUUUUUAAUAAAGCACUGAAUUACAUAAAAAUAUUAUUUUCUACUGCGUGACGCUGCAAAAACAAAUCCUGGUCUGGUGUCACCAGUGGAACAUGCUAGUUUGGAUCCCUGGAGUUGCCUUGUUGGCAGUGUGUUACGGGACUGUACUAGACCCUUGACCCCUAGACAGCAGCAGAGAUAUAGAGCCAACACACAACACUCAGAGAACUAGACCCUUGACCCCUAGACAGCAGCAGAGAUAUAGAGCCAACACACAACACUCAGAGAACUAGACCCUUGACCCCUAGACAGCAGCAGAGAUAUAGAGCCAACACACAACACUCAGAGAACUAGACCCUUGACCCCUAGUCAGCAGCAGAGAUAUAGAGCCAACACACCACUCAGAGUAAGAGGUGUGGUGAUGUAACAGAGCCAACACACCACUCAGAGUAAGAGGUGUGGUGAUGUAACAGAGCCAACACACCACUCAGAGUAAGAGGUGUGGUGAUGUAACAGAGCCAACACACCACUCAGAGUAAGAGGUGUGGUGAUGUAACAGAGCCAACACACCACUCAGAGUAAGAGGUGUGGUGAUGUAACAGAGCCAACACACCACUCAGAGUAAGAGGUGUGGUGAUGUAACAGAGCCAACACACCACUCAGAGUAAGAGGUGUGGUGAUGUAACAGAGCCAACACACCACUCAGAGUAAGAGGUGUGGUGAUGUAACAGAGCCAACACACCACUCAGAGUAAGAGGUGUGGUGAUGUAAUAGAGCCAACACACCACUCAGAGUAAGAGGUGUGGUGAUGUAAUAGAGCCAACACACCACUCAGAGUAAGAGGUGUGGUGAUGUAAUAGAGCCAACACACCACUCAGAGUAAGAGGUGUGGUGAUGUAAUAGAGCCAACACACCACUCAUAGUAAGAGGUGUGGUGAUGUAAUAGAGCCAACACUGAGUGGCUGUAUUAGAGUGUCCAGUGAGGAGUCAAGCACCUCUCUGAUCAGUGUGUGUGUGUGUGUGUGUGUGUGUGUGUGUGUGUGUGUGUGUGUGUGUGUGUGUGUGUGUGUGUGUGUGUGUGUGUGUGUGUGUGUGUGUGUGUGUG